UACGUAGGGUGCGAGAGUUAUUCGGAAUUACUGGGCGUAAAGCGUGCGCAGGCGGCUUUGCAAGACAGAUGUGAAAUCCCCGGGCUCAACCUGGGAACUGCAUUUGUGACUGCAAGGCUAGAGUACGGCAGAGGGGGAUGGAAUUCCGCGUGUAGCAGUGAAAUGCGUAGAUAUGCGGAGGAACACCAAUGGCGAAGGCAAUCCCCUGGGCCUGUACUGACGCUCAUGCACGAAAGCGUGGGGAGCAAACAGG
This 253-nucleotide ribosomal RNA is filed under the name uncultured bacterium. Its description in RNAcentral is "partial 16S ribosomal RNA". It matches the Rfam family "Bacterial small subunit ribosomal RNA", at positions 524 to 776 of the family's 1533-position model. The record is from RNAcentral.